AGAGUUUGAUUCUGGCUCAGAACGAACGCUGGCGGCGUGGAUAAGUCAUGCAAGUCGAACGGGGAACUUACUUAGCUUGCUUUGAAGGUUCCUAGUGGCGAACGGGUGAGUAACACGUGAGUUACCUGCCCCAAAGCGGGGGAUAGCCCGAGGAAACUCGGAUUAAUACCCCAUGUGAUCGUAAGAUUAAAGGCGGCUUCGGCUGUCGCUUUGGGAUGGGCUCGCGGCCUAUCAGCUAGUUGGUGAGGUAAAGGCUCACCAAGGCGAUGACGGGUAGCUGGUCUGAGAGGACGAUCAGUCACACUGGAACUGAGACACGGUCCAGACACCUACGGGUGGCAGCAGUCGAGAAUCAUUCGCAAUGGACGAAAGUCUGACGGUGCGACGCCGCGUGGAGGAUGAAGGCCCUAGGGUCGUAAACUCCUGUCAUCAGGGAGUAAUGACUUACGCAGUAACUGGCGUGGGUAGUGAUAGUACCUGAAGAGGAAGGGACGGCAAACUUCGUGCCAGCAGCCGCGGUAAUACGAAGGUCUCAAGCGUUGUUCGGAUUUACUGGGCGUAAAGAGUCUGUAGGCGGUGUGGUAAGUCAGAUGUGAAAUCCCGGAGCUCAACUCCGGAACUGCAUCCGAUACUGCCAUACUUGAGUAUUGGAGGGGAGUCUGGAAUUCUCGGUGUAGCAGUGAAAUGCGUAGAUAUCGAGAGGAACACUAGUGGCGAAGGCGAGACUCUGGACAAUAACUGACGCUGAGAGACGAAGGCCAGGGUAGCGAAAAGGAUUAGAUACCCUUGUAGUCCUGGCAGUAAACGGUGCACGCUUGGUGCAGGAGGAUUCGACCCCUUCUGUGCCGGAGCUAACGCGUUAAGCGUGCCGCCUGGGGAGUACGGUCGCAAGAUUAAAACUCAAAGAAAUUGACGGGGACCCGCACAAGCGGUGGAGCAUGUGGCUUAAUUCGAUGCAACGCGAAGAACCUUACCUGGGCUUGACAUGUUAGUCGUAGAUUUGUGAAAGCUUAUCGUCACUUCGGGUGGACUAUCACAGGUGCUGCAUGGCUGUCGUCAGCUCGUGUCGUGAGAUGUCAGGUUAAGUCCUAUAACGAGCGCAACCCCUAUGAACUGUUGCCAGCGAGUAAUGUCGGGGACUCUGUUCAGACUGCCCAGAUUAACUGGGAGGAAGGAGGGGAUGACGUCAAGUCAGUAUGGCCCUUACGCCCAGGGCUGCACAC
This 1223-nucleotide ribosomal RNA is filed under the name metagenome. RNAcentral describes it as "bacterial SSU rRNA". It matches the Rfam family "Bacterial small subunit ribosomal RNA", at positions 8 to 1221 of the family's 1533-position model. The record is from RNAcentral.